RNAcentral lists this ribosomal RNA (477 nucleotides) under uncultured bacterium. Its description in RNAcentral is "partial 16S ribosomal RNA". It matches the Rfam family "Bacterial small subunit ribosomal RNA", at positions 29 to 507 of the family's 1533-position model. The record is from RNAcentral.
AUUGAACGCUGGCGGCAUGCCUUACACAUGCAAGUCGAACGGUAACAGGUUAAGCUGACGCGUGGCGAACGGGUGAGUAAUGUAUCGGAACGUGCCCAGUCGUGGGGGAUAACUGCUCGAAAGAGCAGCUAAUACCGCAUACGACCUGAGGGUGAAAGCGGGGGAUCGCAAGACCUCGCGCGAUUGGAGCGGCCGAUAUCAGAUUAGGUAGUUGGUGAGGUAAAGGCUCACCAAGCCGACGAUCUGUAGCUGGUCUGAGAGGACGACCAGCCACACUGGGGCUUGAGCCCCGCCCCAGCCCCUGAGGGAGGGCACAGGUGGGGAAUUUGGGCAAAGGGGGGAAACCUGAUCCAGCCAUGCCGCGUGCGGGAAGAAGGCCUUCGGGUUGUAAACCGCUUUUGUCAGGGAAGAAAAGGUUCUGGCUAAUACCUGGGACUCAUGACGGUACCUGAAGAAUAAGCACCGGCUAACUACGUG